AGAGUUUGAUCAUGGCUCAGAUUGAACGCUGGCGGCAGGCCUAACACAUGCAAGUCGAACGGUAACAGGAAGCAGCUUGCUGCUUUGCUGACGAGUGGCGGACGGGUGAGUAAUGUCUGGGAAACUGCCUGAUGGAGGGGGAUAACUACUGGAAACGGUGGCUAAUACCGCAUAACGUCGCAAGACCAAAGAGGGGGACCUUCGGGCCUCUUGCCAUCAGAUGUGCCCAGAUGGGAUUAGCUGGUUGGUGAGGUAACGGCUCACCAAGGCGACGAUCCCUAGCUGGUCUGAGAGGAUGACCAGCCACACUGGAACUGAGACACGGUCCAGACUCCUACGGGAGGCAGCAGUGGGGAAUAUUGCACAAUGGGCGCAAGCCUGAUGCAGCCAUGCCGCGUGUAUGAAGAAGGCCUUCGGGUUGUAAAGUACUUUCAGCGGGGAGGAAGGUGUUGUGGUUAAUAACCGCAGCAAUUGACGUUACCCGCAGAAGAAGCACCGGCUAACUCCGUGCCAGCAGCCGCGGUAAUACGGAGGGUGCAAGCGUUAAUCGGAAUUACUGGGCGUAAAGCGCACGCAGGCGGUCUGUCAAGUCGGAUGUGAAAUCCCCGGGCUCAACCUGGGAACUGCAUUCGAAACUGGCAGGCUUGAGUCUUGUAGAGGGGGGUAGAAUUCCAGGUGUAGCGGUGAAAUGCGUAGAGAUCUGGAGGAAUACCGGUGGCGAAGGCGGCCCCCUGGACAAAGACUGACGCUCAGGUGCGAAAGCGUGGGGAGCAAACAGGAUUAGAUACCCUGGUAGUCCACGCCGUAAACGAUGUCUACUUGGAGGUUGUGCCCUUGAGGCGUGGCUUCCGGAGCUAACGCGUUAAGUAGACCGCCUGGGGAGUACGGCCGCAAGGUUAAAACUCAAAUGAAUUGACGGGGGCCCGCACAAGCGGUGGAGCAUGUGGUUUAAUUCGAUGCAACGCGAAGAACCUUACCUGGUCUUGACAUCCACAGAAGAAUCCAGAGAUGGAUUUGUGCCUUCGGGAACUGUGAGACAGGUGCUGCAUGGCUGUCGUCAGCUCGUGUUGUGAAAUGUUGGGUUAAGUCCCGCAACGAGCGCAACCCUUAUCCUUUGUUGCCAGCGGUUAGGCCGGGAACUCAAAGGAGACUGCCAGUGAUAAACUGGAGGAAGGUGGGGAUGACGUCAAGUCAUCAUGGCCCUUACGACCAGGGCUACACACGUGCUACAAUGGCGCAUACAAAGAGAAGCGACCUCGCGAGAGCAAGCGGACCUCAUAAAGUGCGUCGUAGUCCGGAUUGGAGUCUGCAACUCGACUCCAUGAAGUCGGAAUCGCUAGUAAUCGUGGAUCAGAAUGCCACGGUGAAUACGUUCCCGGGCCUUGUACACACCGCCCGUCACACCAUGGGAGUGGGUUGCAAAAGAAGUAGGUAGCUUAACCUUCGGGAGGGCGCUUACCACUUUGUGAUUCAUGACUGGGGUGAAGUCGUAACAAGGUAACCGUAGGGGAACCUGCGGUUGGAUCACCU
RNAcentral lists this ribosomal RNA (1530 nucleotides) under Salmonella enterica subsp. enterica. RNAcentral describes it as "bacterial SSU rRNA". It matches the Rfam family "Bacterial small subunit ribosomal RNA". Lineage: Bacteria; Pseudomonadati; Pseudomonadota; Gammaproteobacteria; Enterobacterales; Enterobacteriaceae. The record is from RNAcentral.